CAGUAGCCGCGGUAAUACAGAGGGUGCGAGCGUUAAUCGGAUUUACUGGGCGUAAAGCGUGCGUAGGCGGCUUUUUAAGUCGGAUGUGAAAUCCCUGAGCUUAACUUAGGAAUUGCAUUCGAUACUGGGAAGCUAGAGUAUGGGAGAGGAUGGUAUAAUUCCAGGUGUAGCGGUGAAAUGCGUAGAGAUCUGGAGGAAUACCGAUGGCGAAGGCAGCCAUCUGGCCUAAUACUGACGCUGAGGUACGAAAGCAUGGGGAGCAAACAGGAUUAGAUACCCGCGUAGUCCCUGUCUCUUAUAC
Molecule: ribosomal RNA, 301 nt
Filed under: uncultured bacterium
Lineage: Bacteria
Description: partial 16S ribosomal RNA
Rfam family: Bacterial small subunit ribosomal RNA
Source: RNAcentral